Molecule: long non-coding RNA, 328 nt
Filed under: Struthio camelus australis
Lineage: Eukaryota; Metazoa; Chordata; Aves; Struthioniformes; Struthionidae
Description: lncRNA (ENSSCUG00000008559.1)
Source: RNAcentral
GGACAGUUUUGAUACAGCAUGCCAUGAACAGACCAGGAAAAGUGCAAGUUUCCAGUCCUUUUUAUGAAGAUAACCUUCAAAAUGCCUUCAAACUCACUCCAGCUGAAAGUCUGUCAAGGAAGUAAAGACUCUUCAAAAGCAGCAUGUGCUUAAUCAGAAACAAGUUCUGAAGGAAGACUGUGGACAAAUCUAAUGACUUCCACUUUUGUUCAGUUCUCGCAUAACCUGCGAACACGUUUGUGGAUACUACACCUCUGUUAGCUAAUGCAGCUUAAAUACAAAGGAUUCAUUCUGCUCUGUAAAAUCCUCAGUGCACCUUCAGAAUUAC